GCCUUGCUCCGAGGCCCUGGGCGCUGUCUCAGCCGCCCCCCGCCCCCUGGAGGUGCGCGGCCAGGAGCCGCCCCCGAGGAAAACAGGCCAGCAAGCAUCUGCACCAGGAGGCCAGGCCUUCUGGAAAUGUGUUGGACAGCGAUGGGUCCACACUUCCGCCUUGGCUCCUGAAUGUGGCAUAGCCAACCCAUGAGAGAUGUCAGUUGACAAAGAGCAUGAGGAUCAGGCCAUGGCCUUGUGACACAGUGGAUGAACACCUGGCUGAAGAAACCCAGGAGAGAGAAGCACUGGACACUGGCUUCUGGGCUUAGCUGCUUGGACUCUGGCCAAGGUCUGGGGAUGUCCAGGACAAUCAGCUUUCUGCUUCUGUGCCCAUAAACUCGGGGUAUGGACUCAUUUCCAGUGCUGAGAAGUUCUGAAAUUGCAAAAGAUUCUUCCUAGCAAGUUCUCGACCUGUCUUCUAACUACCCUGCCAUGUGGCCCUCUCUGGGCCUCAGUUUCCCAUCUGUGAAUGAAAGCACUAGACUCGAAGGGUCCCUUCUGGCUCCUCUAACUCCAACCGAGAGGCACAGCUCAGGCUGAGCAGUUGCAUUUCCUCAUCACGGGGGACUGACAGGGAUCUUUUGCAAUGCUCAAUUCUAACAUCAAAAUUCCCCCAAAUAUUCCUUUUUUUUUCUUUUUUCGAGACAGAGUCUCACUCUUGUCGCCCAAGCUGGAGUGCAAUGGCACAA
RNAcentral lists this long non-coding RNA (731 nucleotides) under Homo sapiens (human). RNAcentral describes it as "HSALNT0303945". The record is from RNAcentral. Lineage: Eukaryota; Metazoa; Chordata; Mammalia; Primates; Hominidae.